CAUGCCGGGAGCCGCCGGGGGAGGAGCCCGCCGCUAUUGGCGCGGCGGCGCGGCGGGAGCGCGCGGCAGGGGCAGUCUAGGUAUGCUGGUAAUGGUUUUCCUGGGUCUGCAAGGAAAGCUUUAAGGACCUGUCUGGAGCCUGAGUUGACAUUAUUUGAAUCUGCAGCUAAAAAAGCCGUGAGGAGGAACACCAGAAGAGUGAGCAUAAGCUUUCCUCUGUGGUACCAAACUCUCACUUUGGUUGAAUGAAAGGCAGCGGUUCUGUUCAAAAGGUACACUUGAUCUGUAGACUUUCUUACGUGCAUAUGGGUGCACACACACACACGUACAAAAAACGCUAAGUCAAGGUGUGUUUACAAACAUCAGGAAAGAGAAAUUGGGGCUCACUGUUUUGAAGUAAUAGCCUGUACAUUUAUUACGUUUCUGCCAAUAUUACCACCCCUAAAAGUAG
Molecule: long non-coding RNA, 451 nt
Filed under: Apteryx owenii (little spotted kiwi)
Lineage: Eukaryota; Metazoa; Chordata; Aves; Apterygiformes; Apterygidae
Description: lncRNA (ENSAOWG00000001259.1)
Source: RNAcentral